Seriola aureovittata is the source of this 1777-nucleotide long non-coding RNA. RefSeq lists it as uncharacterized. The record is from RefSeq and is a predicted model, not a curated record. Lineage: Eukaryota; Metazoa; Chordata; Actinopteri; Carangiformes; Carangidae. The transcript is spliced from 3 exons.
GUCAGCUGUUGAUUAUCAGGGCAGAAAUAGAGCGCUCUGUUUUCUGGUUUGUUAACAUAUAUGCUCCAGAUUAAGGAACAGGAAGAGUAGGGUUUUUACCUUGCUAAACAAUGAGCUAAGGAAUUACCAUCAGGAUCAAUUAAUCAUUGGUGGGGAUUUCAACUGUAGACUUAACUGUGGACAGGACAAGUGAGGAACCUCAGAGCCUUAUUAAUAUCAUCACACUACUGGAUCUGUUAGAGACAUGGAUGGUCAAACAUCCACAAUCCAGACAAUACACAUGGGCGAGGGUCAGAAAUAACAUGGAGAGAGCAGCCAGACUGGACAGGGUCUGCAUUUCCCAAAGUCUCAACUCCAGACCAAUUUACAUUAACACAAGUUCAGUUGGAUUCAGUGAUCACCACUUUGUCAAUAUAGAUGCAAUUAUUUCACCAGAUGAAAGGGUGACAGGGUGAAAGUUCUAUUGGCUUUUCAGCAACCCUGUGGCAGUGAUUUAAAUGCUUCUGGCAGAAGUGGAGAAAACAGAGAAGCUGAUUUUAGUUCUUUGUAACUUUGGUGAGAAACAAAUGUGUGUUUUUUUCCCAGCAGUACAACUCCCAUUCCACUGCUAGGAUUAAGGCAGCAGUUCAGGAAUUGGACUGCCAACAUUAGGAACAUUGAAGAGGGCUUGCAUCGAACUCUGAUCCCACGAUGGGAAGUUCUUGUCAGGUCUUGUUUCCUCCACUUAAAGGAUAUUGAUGCUCCAAGCUCUUUUUUUUUUUUUCAAUCUGGAGAGAUCGGCGGUACAACAGAAACAGAUGACCUGCCUUAGGCUGCCAGGAGGCAGAAUGACCACCAGUCUGGGCGAGAUGAGGAACGAUGUGACAGACUUCUACACUGACCUCUUUGGUGCAGAACAAUGAAGAAUGUAGUGCCGCAGGGAGCUCCUGGAAGGGCUCCCUCAGCGAAGCCCAGAAGAGAAAGCUGCUCUGGACUGUGACAGUUGCUGUUAACCAGAUGGCAUCAGGACGGGCACCAAUGGUUCAUGAUCUCUCUGCUGACUUUCAUAAGUGUUUCUGGAAUAUCAUUGGCGCUGAUUUACAUGGUGUUUUGUUGGAGUGUUUCCGAACAGGAUCUCUUUCUGUCUCCUGUCAGUGAGCUGUGCUUUCCCUGCUGCCCAAGAAAGGUGACCUUACUUAAGAACUGGAGGUUCUUUCCAGAGCCUUUUCAAAACAGACUUAAGGACAUCUUGGAAAUAAUUUUACGCAUAUCAAAGCUGUCUACCUGACAGUACAAUCAUGGACAAAACUUUCUUUUUUCGAGAUGUUAUUGGUACAGGAGAUUGUACAAGAAGAAUGCCCGAUGAUACAGUGUUUACACUCUCGAAAACAGAGAAGACGUGGCCACAUCCUGGAUCUUCAGGCUAGGAUUCUCCAGAAGGUGCUGACUGGCAGGGAAAUGCCCAGACGAAGGUCACUUCGCCCUGAUGACCCCAGGAGGUUUGUUUUCUUCCCCUUGUACUGGAACCAACCAUAGAGGAACUCCAGCCAACCAAACUCAGGAGAGGGCUUGUGCCAGCAUCCCAGACAGACUGAUGAGCAGCAAUUCCCAUUGGAGCCUCAAAACUUCCCACUUCAUUGUCCAUGUUCUAUUCCUUAUCAUUUAUGUGUAUUCAUUCAUGUCUGUGUGUUGUAUACAUUUUUUUGCAUUGCUUAUUCUGUUAGAUCAUUGCACUUCUCAUCAUUAUAGUGAGAAGUACUUGACUCUUGAUACUACUGAUAACCAAUUAGUACUUGAA